GUGAAGUAUAGAACAGCUAAUGAGAUUAAUAUGAAGGACUCGGUAGGUUGAUUUAAUUUAUACCUUGAAAUGUGCUUGCUUUGUAAGCUGCUAUUGUUUUAAUAUAUUUUAGUUUUAGGCUGACUAGUUGGUAAUGCUUGAAUUGAUCAAUGCAUGCAUAAUUUAAAAAAGAAGUGUACUUCAUACAAAUGAAGUUGACUCUAGUUCAGGGUAAAAUAUUCAUAGAUGGCGUUGUGGAGUGUACUUCAUACAAAUUUAUUGUUUAUUCAGUAAAUCCAACCCUAAGGAAUUGCAAAUUGAAAUAUAUAAAUUUCCAUUUACCAACUUGUGAAGAUUCCACCAAGGAGCUUCCUCCAAGUUCUUACCUACUUGCUCCAAAUUUUAAAAACAAUGUAUUAUGGAAAAUUUAAGUAGACAUAGACUUCUGUUCUCUUUGUCUCUCCAACACCAAACCCUGUUUCUCUUUUGAUAAUUUGUAUUUUUAAACUCUGAUUGUUUAUUUAGUUUCUUUAUGUUAUAUAAUUAAGAUACGUUGGACAGUGUAAGUUCUGAGGGAAAAGAAGAAUUACCAUGAAGAGAAAUGUGAAUUUGCUAGUGCCAGUUGAAAAAAGUGUGACACUGAGCCACUAACGAGUUGUUUACAAAGAUGAAAGCAUGAAACUGACAUUAGAGUUAGUAGCUUGCAAUCUAAUGAGCUUCAGUUGCUUCAGAUUUUAGUAUCUUUGAAUCAAUACUACCUUAUUUUGCUAGCGUUACCCUCAGUUGGAUCACUGAGAUUGGCAGUAAAAUUAUGUAAUUAUGUUUAUCUAGCAUCAUGUAUCAGUGAGAUCAUUUGAAUACUACUCAUUUGAGCUGCAUUGAGUACUCCUUUCCAGAAUACAGAUUGCGUGGUGUAUGCAAGAACAACAUUUUCAACUUUAAAGCACGGUUAUGCUCAUCCCAGUAAGAACUACAGAUGCAUACAGAGAUAUAUAUAGAACUAUUAAGAAACGAAGCGGGUGACUGAAACACGUCUCCUGGUAAUGCACUAGGGAAACCUCAAACAGUUUAAUUUCAGAAUUUCUGGCUAUUUGAAGUUCUGCAGUUCUCCUGGAAUCAGUAAUACAUACCAAGCCGAAAAAAGAAACUUAAAGAACCAUGGAAAGAUGUUCAGCCUGAUUGCUUCAUCAUCAACAGCAACAUUUGGUGAAAUUAGACUCUUCAUAUAUGUUGAAGCUGAUGAUAUUUUGCUAGAAACAAAGUCAGCUGAAGUUUGUUGACCGAAGAUGCAAAGAAGCCAAAGACGAGAAGCACAACAGCUAGCCUUGGGAGCAGUUGAAUGGAGCUGAUUUUGUGAUGUCUAAACUGAUGUUUUUUGAUGUAUUCAGCAGGGUAUUCAGCUGUAAUUAAGGGGUAGUUAAAUGUAAGGUUUGUAUGCGGUUAAAAUUGUGUGGUGGUGAAUUAUUGUUAGUAAAAUAUUCACUCCAAGUUUAGGUGGACAGUGUCUUAAACCUUUUGUAUAAGUUGAAUCCAUUUUCAAUAAAAA
This is a long non-coding RNA of Pistacia vera, 1525 nucleotides long. RefSeq lists it as uncharacterized. The record is from RefSeq and is a predicted model, not a curated record. The transcript has 3 exons. NCBI's taxonomy places the organism in Eukaryota, Viridiplantae, Streptophyta, Magnoliopsida, Sapindales, Anacardiaceae.